CUGGAAACAGGUUAAUAUUCCUGUACUUGGUGUUACUGCGAAGGGGGGACGGAGAAGGCUAUGUUGGCCGGGCGACGGUUGUCCCGGUUUAAGCGUGUAGGCUGGUUUUCCAGGCAAAUCCGGAAAAUCAAGGCUGAGGCGUGAUGACGAGGCACUACGGUGCUGAAGCAACAAAUGCCCUGCUUCCAGGAAAAGCCUCUAAGCAUCAGGUAACGUCAAAUCGUACCCCAAACCGACACAGGUGGUCAGGUAGAGAAUACCAAGGCGCUUGAGAGAACUCGGGUGAAGGAACUAGGCAAAAUGGUGCCGUAACUUCGGGAGAAGGCACGCUGAUAUGUAGGUGAGGUCCCUCGCGGAUGGAGCUGAAAUCAGUCGAAGAUACCAGCUGGCUGCAACUGUUUAUUAAAAACACAGCACUGUGCAAACACGAAAGUGGACGUAUACGGUGCGACGCCUGCCCGGUGCCGGAAGGUUAAUUGAUGGGGUUAGCGCAAGCGAAGCUCUUGAUCGAAGCCCCGGUAAACGGCGGCCGUAACAAUAACGGUCCUAAGGUAGCGAAAUUCCUUGUCGGGUAAGUUCCGACCUGCACGAAUGGCGUAAUGAUGGCCAGGCUGUCUCCACCCGAGACUCAGUGAAAUUGAACUCGCUGUGAAGAUGCAGUGUACCCGCGGCAAGACGGAAAGACCCCGUGAACCUUUACUAUAGCUUGACACUGAACAUUGAGCCUUGAUGUGUAGGAUAGGUGGGAGGCUUUGAAGUGUGGACGCCAGUCUGCAUGGAGCCGACCUUGAAAUACCACCCUUUAAUGUUUGAUGUUCUAACGUUGACCCGUAAUCCGGGUUGCGGACAGUGUCUGGUGGGUAGUUUGACUGGGGCGGUUUCCUCCUAAAGAGUAACGGAGGAGCACGAAGGUUGGCUAAUCCUGGUCGGACAUCGGGAGGUUAGUGCAAUGGCAUAAGCCAGCUUGACUGCGAGCGUGACGGCGCGAGCAGGUGCGAAAGCAGGUCAUAGUGAUCCGGUGGUUCUGAAUGGAAGGGCCAUCGCUCAACGGGUAAAAGGUACUCCGGGGAUAACAGGCUGAUACCGCCCAAGAGUUCAUAUCGACGGCGGUGUUUGGCACCUCGAUGUCGGCUCAUCACAUCCUGGGGCUGAAGUAGGUCCCAAGGGUAUGGCUGUUCGCCAUUUAAAGUGGUACGCGAGCUGGGUUUAGAACGUCGUGAGACAGUUCGGUCCCUAUCUGCCGUGGGCGCUGGAGAACUGAGGGGGGCUGCUCCUAGUACGAGAGGACCGGAGUGGACGCAUCACUGGUGUUCGGGUUGUCAUGCCAAUGGCACUGCCCGGUAGCUAAAUGCGGAAGAGAUAAGUGCUGAAAGCAUCUAAGCACGAAACUUGCCCCGAGAUGAGUUCUCCCUGACCCUUUAAGGGUCCUGAAGGAACGUUGAAGACGACGACGUUGAUAGGCCGGGUGUGUAAGCGCAGCGAUGCGUUGAGCUAACCGGUACUAAUGAACCGUGAGGCUUAACC
RNAcentral lists this ribosomal RNA (1524 nucleotides) under metagenome. RNAcentral's name for it is "bacterial LSU rRNA". It matches the Rfam family "Bacterial large subunit ribosomal RNA", at positions 1419 to 2925 of the family's 2925-position model. The record is from RNAcentral.